This 478-nucleotide ribosomal RNA is filed under the name uncultured bacterium. RNAcentral's name for it is "partial 16S ribosomal RNA". It matches the Rfam family "Bacterial small subunit ribosomal RNA", at positions 28 to 507 of the family's 1533-position model. The record is from RNAcentral.
GAUGAACGCUAGCGGCAGGCCUAACACAUGCAAGUCGAGGGAGAAGCCCUUUCGGGGGCAGAGACCGGCGCACGGGUGCGUAACGCGUAUGCAACCUACUUUUCACAGGGGGAUAGCCCGAAGAAAUUUGGAUUAAUACUCCAUAAUAUUAUUUGAUGGCAUCAUUUGAUAAUUAAAACUGCGGUGGUGAAAGAUGGGCAUGCGUCCUAUUAGCUAGUUGGAGUGGUAACGGCACCCCAAGGCUACGAUAGGUAGGGGUCCUGAGAGGGAGAUCCCCCACACUGGUACUGAGACAGGGACCAGACUCAUACGGGAGGCAGCAGUGAGGAAUAUUGGUGAAUGGUCGGAAGACUGAACCAGCCAUGCCGCGUGCAGGAAGAAUGCCUUAUGGGUUGUAAACUGCUGUUAUAUGGGAAGAAUAAGGCGUACGUGUACGUUGAUGACGGUACCAUAUGAAUAAGCAUCGGCUAACUCCGUG